AUUGAACGCUGGCGGCAGGCCUAACACAUGCAAGUCGAGCGGAUGAAGGGAGCUUGCUCCUGGAUUCAGCGGCGGACGGGUGAGUAAUGCCUAGGAAUCUGCCUGGUAGUGGGGGAUAACGUCCGGAGACGGGCGCUAAUACUGCAUACGUCCUGAGGGAGAAAGUGGGGGAUCUUCGGACCUCACGCUAUCAGAUGAGCCUAGGUCGGAUUAGCUAGUUGGUGGGGUAAAGGCCUACCAAGGCGACGAUCCGUAACUGGUCUGAGAGGAUGAUCAGUCACACUGGAACUGAGACACGGUCCAGACUCCUACGGGAGGCAGCAGUGGGGAAUAUUGGACAAUGGGCGAAAGCCUGAUCCAGCCAUGCCGCGUGUGUGAAGAAGGUCUUCGGAUUGUAAAGCACUUUAAGUUGGGAGGAAGGGCAGUAAGUUAAUACCUUGCUGUUUUGACGUUACCAACAGAAUAAGCACCGGCUAACUUCGUG
This 484-nucleotide ribosomal RNA is filed under the name uncultured bacterium. RNAcentral describes it as "partial 16S ribosomal RNA". It matches the Rfam family "Bacterial small subunit ribosomal RNA", at positions 30 to 507 of the family's 1533-position model. The record is from RNAcentral.